Molecule: long non-coding RNA, 518 nt
Filed under: Erythranthe guttata (spotted monkey flower)
Lineage: Eukaryota; Viridiplantae; Streptophyta; Magnoliopsida; Lamiales; Phrymaceae
Description: long non-coding RNA (EGUT_LNC003798)
Source: RNAcentral
UUGUAUUUUUCAUGUAACUUGAUUUUUUAUUAUAAAUCAUAUAUAUAUGUAAUUUUUUUUUGUAUUUAUUUGAAGAUGAUUUGAAAUACCUAAUGUGUGAGAGCUUUGUUUGUCUGUAAUAGAAAUUUAACCAGUAAUGGUUACUUACAUGGGUGAUUUGAGUCAGGUGAAUAUAAGUUAUAUUUAGUCAUAUACAGUCAUUUAUAGUCAGUCACAUGUAGUCAUGUAUAGUCAUGACUACUUGUAACUAUACAUGACUAUAUAUAGGACUUGUAGUAUACUAUAGUCAUUUGUAGUCGAUUUUAGUUCAGUAAAUUUAUCAACAAAAAAAAUCAUGUUUUUUUUGUAUUUUUCAUGUAACCUAACUCGCAUGUUCCAUUUUGCUAUUUCACUCGUAUUUUUUUCUCGCAGGUUUUGCUUUUAUUAUAAUUUUAUGACAUGCAGAGAAUAAAAUUCGAUGAAGUGCCUUUGUGAAGUUGGAUUCAUGCUACAGUACUCCGGACUUAUGCCACUUAUAU